GAUGAACGCUGGCUACAGGCUUAACACAUGCAAGUCGAGGGGAAACGACGGGGAAGCUUGCUUCCCCGGGCGUCGACCGGCGCACGGGUGAGUAACGCGUAUCCAACCUGCCUCUGACUGAGGGAUAACCCGUCGAAAGUCGGCCUAAUACCUCAUGGUAUCGUCUGCGGGCAUCCAACGACGAUUAAAGAUUUCAUCGGUCAGGGAUGGGGAUGCGUCUGAUUAGCUUGUUGGCGGGGUAACGGCCCACCAAGGCUACGAUCAGUAGGGGUUCUGAGUGGAAGGUCCCCCACAUUGGAACUGAGACACGGUCCAAACUCCUACGGGAGGCAGCAGUGAGGAAUAUUGGUCAAUGGGCGAGAGCCUGAACCAGCCAAGUAGCGUGCAGGAAGACGGCCCUAUGGGUUGUAAACUGCUUUUAUGCGGGGAUAAAGUGAGGGACGUGUCCCUCAUUGCAGGUACCGCAUGAAUAAGGACCGGCUAAUUCCGUG
Molecule: ribosomal RNA, 491 nt
Filed under: uncultured bacterium
Lineage: Bacteria
Description: partial 16S ribosomal RNA
Rfam family: Bacterial small subunit ribosomal RNA
Source: RNAcentral